GGGAUUGUAGUUCAGGGGUAGAACGUUUCUUUCGCACUCCCAGAAGACGGUCUCUGAUCAGCUUCGAGUCGAAACGACACUAGAAAAGGUCCCCGGUUCAAUUCCGGGCAAUUCCA
This is a non-coding RNA of Orbilia ellipsospora, 116 nucleotides long. NCBI's taxonomy places the organism in Eukaryota, Fungi, Ascomycota, Orbiliomycetes, Orbiliales, Orbiliaceae. The record is from the annotation of a GenBank genome assembly.